UUAAGCGACUAAGCGUACACGGUGGAUGCCCUGGCAGUCAGAGGCGAUGAAGGACGUGCUAAUCUGCGAUAAGCGUCGGUAAGGUGAUAUGAACCGUUAUAACCGGCGAUUUCCGAAUGGGGAAACCCAGUGUGAUUCGUCACACUAUCAUUAACUGAAUCCAUAGGUUAAUGAGGCGAACCGGGGGAACUGAAACAUCUAAGUACCCCGAGGAAAAGAAAUCAACCGAGAUUCCCCCAGUAGCGGCGAGCGAACGGGGAGGAGCCCAGAGCCUGAAUCAGUGUGUGUGUUAGUGGAAGCGUCUGGAAAGGCGCGCGAUACAGGGUGACAGCCCCGUACACAAAAAUGCACAUGCUGUGAGCUCGAUGAGUAGGGCGGGACACGUGGUAUCCUGUCUGAAUAUGGGGGGACCAUCCUCCAAGGCUAAAUACUCCUGACUGACCGAUAGUGAACCAGUACCGUGAGGGAAAGGCGAAAAGAACCCCGGCGAGGGGAGUGAAAAAGAACCUGAAACCGUGUACGUACAAGCAGUGGGAGCACAGAGCAAUCUGUGUGACUGCGUACCUUUUGUAUAAUGGGUCAGCGACUUAUAUUCUGUAGCAAGGUUAACCGAAUAGGGGAGCCGAAGGGAAACCGAGUCUUAACUGGGCGUUAAGUUGCAGGGUAUAGACCCGAAACCCGGUGAUCUAGCCAUGGGCAGGUUGAAGGUUGGGUAACACUAACUGGAGGACCGAACCGACUAAUGUUGAAAAAUUAGCGGAUGACUUGUGGCUGGGGGUGAAAGGCCAAUCAAACCGGGAGAUAGCUGGUUCUCCCCGAAAGCUAUUUAGGUAGCGCCUCGUGAAUUCAUCUCCGGGGGUAGAGCACUGUUUCGGCAAGGGGGUCAUCCCGACUUACCAACCCGAUGCAAACUGCGAAUACCGGAGAAUGUUAUCACGGGAGACACACGGCGGGUGCUAACGUCCGUCGUGAAGAGGGAAACAACCCAGACCGCCAGCUAAGGUCCCAAAGUCAUGGUUAAGUGGGAAACGAUGUGGGAAGGCCCAGACAGCCAGGAUGUUGGCUUAGAAGCAGCCAUCAUUUAAAGAAAGCGUAAUAGCUCACUGGUCGAGUCGGCCUGCGCGGAAGAUGUAACGGGGCUAAACCAUGCACCGAAGCUGCGGCAGCGACACUGUGUGUUGUUGGGUAGGGGAGCGUUCUGUAAGCCUGUGAAGGUGUGCUGUGAGGCAUGCUGGAGGUAUCAGAAGUGCGAAUGCUGACAUAAGUAACGAUAAAGCGGGUGAAAAGCCCGCUCGCCGGAAGACCAAGGGUUCCUGUCCAACGUUAAUCGGGGCAGGGUGAGUCGACCCCUAAGGCGAGGCCGAAAGGCGUAGUCGAUGGGAAACAGGUUAAUAUUCCUGUACUUGGUGUUACUGCGAAGGGGGGACGAGAAGGCUAUGUUGGCCGGGCGACGGUUGUCCCGGUUUAAGCGUGUAGGCUGGUUUUCCAGGCAAAUCCGGAAAAUCAAGGCUGAGGCGUGAUGACGAGGCACUACGGUGCUGAAGCAACAAAUGCCCUGCUUCCAGGAAAAGCCUCUAAGCAUCAGGUAACAUCAAAUCGUACCCCAAACCGACACAGGUGGUCAGGUAGAGAAUACCAAGGCGCUUGAGAGAACUCGGGUGAAGGAACUAGGCAAAAUGGUGCCGUAACUUCGGGAGAAGGCACGCUGAUAUGUAGGUGAAGUCCCUCGCGGAUGGAGCUGAAAUCAGUCGAAGAUACCAGCUGGCUGCAACUGUUUAUUAAAAACACAGCACUGUGCAAACACGAAAGUGGACGUAUACGGUGUGACGCCUGCCCGGUGCCGGAAGGUUAAUUGAUGGGGUCAGCGCAAGCGAAGCUCUUGAUCGAAGCCCCGGUAAACGGCGGCCGUAACUAUAACGGUCCUAAGGUAGCGAAAUUCCUUGUCGGGUAAGUUCCGACCUGCACGAAUGGCGUAAUGAUGGCCAGGCUGUCUCCACCCGAGACUCAGUGAAAUUGAACUCGCUGUGAAGAUGCAGUGUACCCGCGGCAAGACGGAAAGACCCCGUGAACCUUUACUAUAGCUUGACACUGAACAUUGAGCCUUGAUGUGUAGGAUAGGUGGGAGGCUUUGAAGUGUGGACGCCAGUCUGCAUGGAGCCGACCUUGAAAUACCACCCUUUAAUGUUUGAUGUUCUAACGUGGACCCGUGAUCCGGGUUGCGGACAGUGUCUGGUGGGUAGUUUGACUGGGCGGUCUCCUCCUAAAGAGUAACGGAGGAGCACGAAGGUUGGCUAAUCCUGGUCGGACAUCAGGAGGUUAGUGCAAUGGCAUAAGCCAGCUUGACUGCGAGCGUGACGGCGCGAGCAGGUGCGAAAGCAGGUCAUAGUGAUCCGGUGGUUCUGAAUGGAAGGGCCAUCGCUCAACGGAUAAAAGGUACUCCGGGGAUAACAGGCUGAUACCGCCCAAGAGUUCAUAUCGACGGCGGUGUUUGGCACCUCGAUGUCGGCUCAUCACAUCCUGGGGCUGAAGUAGGUCCCAAGGGUAUGGCUGUUCGCCAUUUAAAGUGGUACGCGAGCUGGGUUUAGAACGUCGUGAGACAGUUCGGUCCCUAUCUGCCGUGGGCGCUGGAGAACUGAGGGGGGCUGCUCCUAGUACGAGAGGACCGGAGUGGACGCAUCACUGGUGUUCGGGUUGUCAUGCCAAUGGCACUGCCCGGUAGCUAAAUGCGGAAGAGAUAAGUGCUGAAAGCAUCUAAGCACGAAACUUGCCCCGAGAUGAGUUCUCCCUGACCCUUUAAGGGUCCUGAAGGAACGUUGAAGACGACGACGUUGAUAGGCCGGGUGUGUAAGCGCAGCGAUGCGUUGAGCUAACCGGUACUAAUGAACCGUGAGGCUUAACCUU
This 2901-nucleotide ribosomal RNA is filed under the name Escherichia coli DEC4B. RNAcentral's name for it is "bacterial LSU rRNA". It matches the Rfam family "Bacterial large subunit ribosomal RNA". Lineage: Bacteria; Pseudomonadati; Pseudomonadota; Gammaproteobacteria; Enterobacterales; Enterobacteriaceae. The record is from RNAcentral.